RNAcentral lists this ribosomal RNA (450 nucleotides) under uncultured bacterium. Its description in RNAcentral is "bacterial SSU rRNA". It matches the Rfam family "Bacterial small subunit ribosomal RNA", at positions 354 to 796 of the family's 1533-position model. The record is from RNAcentral.
GUGGGGAAUCUUGCGCAAUGGACGAAAGUCUGACGCAGCGACGCCGCGUGGAGGAUGACGGUCUUCGGAUUGUAAACUCCUGUUAAGUGGAAAGAAAGCCACACUUCAAAUAGAUGUGUGGGAUGACGGUACCAUUAGAGAAAGUCCCGGCUAACUUCGUGCCAGCAGCCGCGGUAAUACGAAGGGGACUAGCGUUAUUCGGAGUUACUGGGCGUAAAGAGCGCGUAGGCGGUCUCUUAAGUCAGCUGUUAAAUCCCACGGCCUAACUGUGGAUAUGCGGUUGAUACUGUGAGACUAGAGGUUGAGAGAGAGGGACGGAAUUCUCGGAGUAGCGGUGGAAUGCGUAGAUCUCGAGAGGAACACCGAUGGCGAAGGCAGUUUCUUGGUUCAAUACUGACGCUAAAGCGCGAAAGCGUGGGGAGCAAACAGGAUUAGAUACCCGUGUAGUCC